This 440-nucleotide ribosomal RNA is filed under the name uncultured bacterium. Its description in RNAcentral is "partial 16S ribosomal RNA". It matches the Rfam family "Bacterial small subunit ribosomal RNA", at positions 338 to 795 of the family's 1533-position model. The record is from RNAcentral.
CCUACGCGAGGCAGCAGUGGGGGAUAUUGCACAAUGGGGGGAACCCUGAUGCAGCGACGCCGCGUGGGUGAAGAAGCGCCUCGGCGCGUAAAGCCCUGUCAGCAGGGAAGAAAAUGACGGUACCUGAAGAAGAAGCACCGGCUAAUUACGUGCCAGCAGCCGCGGUAAUACGCAGGGGGCAAGCGUUAUCCGGAUUUACUGGGUGUAACGGGGGCGCAGACGGCGAUGCAAGCCAGGAGUGAAAGCCCGGGGCCCAACCCCGGGACUGCGCUUGGAACUGCGUGGCUGGAGUGCAGGAGGGGCAGGCGGAAUUCCUGGUGUAGCGGUGAAAUGCGUAGAUAUCAGGAGGAACACCGGUGGCGAAGGCGGCCUGCUGGACUGCAACUGACGUUGAGGCCCGAAAGCGUGGGGAGCAAACAGGAUUAGAUACCCUUGUAGUC